Molecule: long non-coding RNA, 2096 nt
Organism: Callithrix jacchus (white-tufted-ear marmoset)
Lineage: Eukaryota; Metazoa; Chordata; Mammalia; Primates; Cebidae
Source: Ensembl
AUGUGGUGGAGGAAACUGAAACACAGAGAGAACACAAGUAGCAUGACCAACAUCAUGCAACUCAUGGCGGCAGAGCUCAUGUAUGCCAUCACCUCCUCCCCAUUUCAGACUGGCACCGGGUUUGUCCUUGACCACGCAAUGCACCUGCCAAACUGUUCCGAGUUCCCAGCCUCACCACCAGAGUAUGCUGUUUUGGCAAAGUGGCCGGUCAUCAUGAUGGUCAAAUUUGCUGAAGAUGACACACCUGAGGACAGACUAUCGGGCCAUGGAUAGAGCUGGAGGCCAUUAACCUUAAAAAACUGACACAGGAACAGAAAACCAAAUACUGCAUGCUGUCACUUACAGGUGGGAGCUAAAUGAAGAGAACACACAGAAAUGCAGAAGAAAACAACAUACACUGGGGCAUUUCGGAAAGUGGAGGGUGGGAGGACGGAGAGGAUCAGGAGAAAUAACUAAUGGGUACUAGGCUUAAUAACCGGGUGAUGAAAGAAUCUGUACAACAAAUUCUCAUAACACAAGUUUACCUGUAUAACAAACCUGCACUGGCACCCUUAAACUUAAAAUAAAAGUGAAAAACUGACAAUAGGAACAGUACCUGUGUAUUGAUAAUUUUUUUUUUAAAAGAGCUUUCACACAUAAAAUUUUAUCUUUUAAUCUUCCAUUUAAUAUUCAAGGAAAAUCUUUGAAAUAAUAGGUAGGUAGAGGCAUGACUAGCUACAUUAAAUAAGAAAAAAGAGGCCGGGCGUGGUGGCUCAACCCUGUAAUCCCAGCACUUUGGGAGGCCGAGGCGGGUGGAUCAUGAGGUCAAGAGAUCGAGACCAUCCUGGUCAACAUGGUGAAACCCCGUCUCUACUAAAAAUACAAAAAAUUAGCUGGGCAUGGUGGCGCGUGCCUGUAAUCCCAGCUAUUCAGGAGGCUGAGGCAGGAGAAUUGCCUGAACCCAGGAGGCAGAGGUUGCAGUGAGCUGAGAUCACGCCAUUGCACUCCAGCCUGGGUAACAAGAGCGAAACUCCAUCUCAAAUAAAAAGAAAAAAGAGUUUAGCCAGGGAGAUUUAAUAACUUACUCAAAGUCACGAAGUUAGUGAUGGAAGUAGAACUAAUACUGAGUUUCCAGACAUGUGAUCAAGUACUCCAGUUACCUACUGACUGAGUUUUUAGUUAUGCCACACUAGCAUGUCUCCCAUAUACUAUGGAAGAAGCACUCUGUAAUGGUAAGGCAAUUUGUACGUAGGGAUCUUUGAAGCAGAAAUAGCAAAUGUCUGUUUUAGAAAAUUUCUGGCAUUACAUCAAAUUCCGAUGGGUAUAUUGAGCUAACCUGGAUACUACCUUUCCAUUCCAAACAAGAUAAAUUAUGGAUAGAAUGUUUAAAACUUUAAACAAUAUAUACCUAACUGUGAAAGUAAGAAAUGAAAAUGCCCAGAUGCUAUAAAUGAGGAGGAAAUUGAAAACUAAAGUCAUGAGAAGGUGAAGACGGAGAGGCAUGAUCUAUCUACUCAGGCAGCUGGCUCUGGGAAACUGGUUCCUGCCCUGAGAAACUCCUAUCUGUGGCCUGAGAACUGGCAUGGUGGCACACAAUCAUCCCAGACUGUGAAUGAAAAGCAUUUGCUCCAGGAAGAAGCUGGAAUCCCAUGCUCAGUACUGGGUGCUGUAUGCUGGUGGGGGCCAAAUGAGAGGACAAGGGUUUAACUUCAAAACUCCUCGAGGGCAUCUCUUCUAAGAAACCAUAAUUAAGAUGUUCUAGUGCUACAGUUUUAAAAGAAUCAUGAGAAUACAGAACAUAGUAUUUUCCAACCAGAAGAGAGGAAAAUGGGAGAGAAAAAGACCUUUCAAAACCUAAAACUAAAAAUUAAAACAUCUUAAAAGGAGAAAUAAGACCUUAAAAGUUAGCUAGAAAACAUACAAUAUUAUAAAUAAGUCUAAAUAUAUGAAUUAAAAGUGGCCUAAAUACAGUGGUUAAACACAAAGAUUGUCAAAUUAGUAAAAAAAAAAAAAAAUUGAAUAUAUAUAAAACCUAAGAGCACUAAACGAUUGAAAAUCAAAGAAUGAAGAAAUAUGAAUACAGAAUUAUAUGUUACAUAUACCAUACACACACACAC